UACGUAGGGUGCAAGCGUUUGUCCGGAAUUAUUGGGCGUAAAGAGCUCGUAGGCGGUCUGUCACGUCGGCUGUGAAAUCCCGAGGCUCAACCUCGGGUCUGCAGUCGAUACGGGCAAACUAGAGUAUUGCAGGGGAGACUGGAAUUCCUGGUGUAGCGGUGAAAUGCGCAGAUAUCAGGAGGAACACCCGUGGCGAAGGCGGCUCUCUGGGACGGUACUGACGCUGAGACGCGAAAGCGUGGGGAGCGAACAGG
This 254-nucleotide ribosomal RNA is filed under the name uncultured bacterium. RNAcentral describes it as "partial 16S ribosomal RNA". It matches the Rfam family "Bacterial small subunit ribosomal RNA", at positions 524 to 776 of the family's 1533-position model. The record is from RNAcentral.